UACAUGUGGGGCAAGCGUUGUUCGGAAUUACUGGGCAUAAAGGGUGCGUAGGCGGCUUGUUAAGUCAGGGGUGAAAGUUUUCGGCCCAACCGGAAAAUUGCCUUUGAUACUGGCGAGCUCGAGUGCGUGAGGGGUAACCGGAACGAGCAGUGUAGCGGUGAAAUGCGUAGAUAUUGCUCGGAAGGCCAACGGCGAAGGCAGGUUACUGGUACGCAACUGACGCUGAGGCGCGAAAGCUAGGGGAGCAAACAGG
Molecule: ribosomal RNA, 253 nt
Filed under: uncultured bacterium
Lineage: Bacteria
Description: partial 16S ribosomal RNA
Rfam family: Bacterial small subunit ribosomal RNA
Source: RNAcentral